This 39-nucleotide ribosomal RNA is filed under the name Porodaedalea chrysoloma. RNAcentral's name for it is "partial 28S ribosomal RNA". The record is from RNAcentral. Lineage: Eukaryota; Fungi; Basidiomycota; Agaricomycetes; Hymenochaetales; Hymenochaetaceae.
UAACAGCCUUCUUGACUCUUUGACCUCAAAUCAGGUAGG